This 2385-nucleotide ribosomal RNA is filed under the name Triticum aestivum (bread wheat). Its description in RNAcentral is "partial small subunit ribosomal RNA". The record is from RNAcentral. Lineage: Eukaryota; Viridiplantae; Streptophyta; Magnoliopsida; Poales; Poaceae.
AUGGCUGCUUUUCUGCUUCUGCUCGUUGUUUCCUCCCUCUCAUUUGCUGCCAUUGAUCCUGUUCAGUGCACCACAGCUUCUCAUUCACAUGUUCACAUUGUGUACUUGGGCCACAACAACGAUCUUAGUCCUUCUCUGACCACACGGUUUCAUCUCCAACUUCUGUCAACUGUCUUUGCAGAGCCGGAGGAAGCAAGACAAGCUAUUCUCUACAGCUACAGCUAUGGUUUCUCUGGUUUUGCGGCAGUGCUCAAUUCAACGCAAGCCACCACAUUGUCGGAAACAGAAGCGGUCAUAUCAGUAUUCAGGAGCAGGAUGCUGCAGCUCCAUACAACAAGGAGCUGGGAUUUCAUGGGCCUCAGCCUGCAUUCGCAUAUGGAGCAACCAUCCUCCCAAAUGCAUUUGAAGUACGGAGACGACGUAAUUGUCGGUAUCCUCGACACCGGUGUGUGGCCUGAAUCCGAGAGCUUCAGAGAUGACCCCCACCUAGGCCCCGUGCCGUCGUCAUGGCGCGGCACGUGCGUCGGAGGCCAGCAGUUCGACCCGGCCACCGCGUGCAACCGCAAGCUCAUUGGUGCGCGCUACUACCUCGCCGGCUUCGAGGCGGAGACCGGCCCGCUGAACACCAGCGGCGGCGCGGAGUACCGGUCGGCCCGGGACCGCGUGGGCCACGGCACGCACACGGCGUCCACGGCCGUGGGCGCCGUGUCCCCCAACGCGAGCUACUUCGGUGGGCUGGGCCGCGGCGCGGCACGCGGGGGCGCCCCCAGGGCGCGGCUGGCGGUGUACAAGGUGUGCUGGUUCAAGGACCUGACGGGCCGGUGCAACGACGCCGACAUCCUGGCGGCGUUCGACGACGCACUGCACGACGGCGUGCACGUCAUCUCGGCGUCCCUCGGGUCUCCGCCGCCGCUGUCGCCGCUGUUCGCGACGAGCACCGAGGUCGGGUCGUUCCACGCCAUGCAGCUCGGGGUGUCCACGGUGUUCUCGGCGGGCAACGACGGGCCCGACGCGGCCAUGGUGCAGAACGUGUCGCCGUGGGGUGUCACCGUCGCCGCCAGCACCAUCGACCGGAGGUUCCCGACGGUGAUCGCGCUCGGGAGCAAUGCCUCCUUCGUGGGAGAGGGCUUCAUUGUGAAGGACAUGAAAAUGCAUUUAGUAGAGAGCACUAGCGUCUUUGCCGAUGGGACGUGCUCCCUGGACCAGCUGGUGAACCGCACGGCGGCGUCUGGGAAGAUCGUCUUGUGCUUCUCCACGAUGGGGAUGGUGUCUGGCGAGGGCGCGGCGCUGGCGGUGUAUGCCGGCGGUGGCUCCGGCGUGAUCUUCGCGGACUCCAGCUCCCGGCGGUCCAACCAGGACAACUUCCUGCCCACCGUCCACGUCAACCUGCGCCAGGGCACCCAGAUCCUCAACUACAUCCAGAGCCGUUCAAGGCCACGGCCGACCGUGCACAUCUCGCCGAGCAGGACCGUCGUCGGCAAGACGCCGGCGCCGGCCAUCGCCUACUUCUCCUCCAGAGGGCCCAGCUCCAUUUCUCCAAACAUUCUCAAGCCUGACGUCACCGCACCCGGGGUGAACAUCCUGGCGGCGUGGCCGCCCAAGUCGUCGCCGACGAUGCUCCCUCUGGACAAGCGCUCCACGGAGUGGAACUUCGACACGGGCACGUCCAUGUCGUGCCCCCACGUCACCGGCAUCGUCGCCAUCCUCAGGUCCGUGCACCCGACCUGGUCACCGGCCGCAGUCAAGUCCGCCCUCAUGACCACGGCGUACGUGCACGACGACACGUCGGACGCCAUGCUGGCCGGUGGCACGCAGAAGGCCGCGGACGCCUUCGACACCGGCGCGGGGCACGUGGACCCGCUGCGGGCGCUGGACCCGGGGCUGGUGUACGACGCGGACGCGCGCGACCACGUGCGCUUCCUCUGCGGCCUCGGCUACACGGAGGCCCAGGUGCGGCAGAUGGUGCUCUCCUCCCCGGCGCUCGACACCAGCUGCGCCGGCGGCGCCAUUGGCGACGCCGACCUCAACUACCCGGCCAUCGUGCUCCCCGAGCUGCGGGCUGCGGCGACCGUGAAGCGGACGGUGACGAACGUGGGCCUCCAGAGGGAAACCGUGUACCACGCUACCGUCAUCAGCCCGCAGGGCGCGCACGUCGAGGUGUGGCCGCCGGCGCUGGCGUUCUCCUCGCGCUGCGCCAGGGCCGAGUACUACGUCACCGUCACGCCGGCGAAGCUCUCGCGCGGUCGGUACGACUUCGGCGAGAUCGUGUGGUCCGACGGCUACCACCGCGUCCGCACGCCGCUGGUCGUCAGGGUCACCAACCUGCCGGACGCCGGCGUCGGCGCUCAGCCCACGAAUCAGCACCGUGAUACUACUGAGUACUGA